Lonchura striata (white-rumped munia) is the source of this 1747-nucleotide non-coding RNA. NCBI's taxonomy places the organism in Eukaryota, Metazoa, Chordata, Aves, Passeriformes, Estrildidae. The record is from RefSeq and is a predicted model, not a curated record.
AUCCUGCAAGAUAAGACAACUCUUACUGAGAAGUUUCAUAUCAAACAGCAAGGGGAAGUAAGGGGGUCACCAUCUUUUUAAUUUUUUAUUCUUUUUCUUCUUCAAAACACACUUGUGAUACCAACAACUUGAGGAUAACUUUUUAACAAUCUCAUGUAACGUAACAUGAGGCAGGCAGCAUUACAGAAAUUGUUAAUUUCAAAAACUUACAAGAAUGUGUUUUAUGACAAGUUUCUGAAAAAAAGGUCUCAGGUCAUGUUGAGGGGAAGGAGAGUGUCUUUUGGUUUACCAAAUUUUAUAUCAGCUCAUGCAGGGCAUCAACUAAAGGCUUGGUGUCCUCAUUCUGGAGCUAAUCUACCACUGAUGUAAGAAAGUAAGCACUGCAGAUUAAUGUCACGUAUAGGAUCUUUGAUUCAGAAUCAAAGCUCAGGUCUCAUCACCCAAAAACGUAGUAAAACCACUCUGAUGCCCCUGUAUGGACUAUUAAAAUCUCUGUCCAGUCCUUAAGGAAAGUGGAGGGUUGUAAAGGUCAGCAUAGACAUGGGAGCCAAACAUCCCCCACUGUUCCAGCUGGACAGGGCAAGAGACCUGUCCAGACUUUCACCCAAUAAUAAUGGAUUAAAAUGAAAUUUCUGACUCCCUGAAACAGAAGGAAGUGUUCUGACAUGUACAGACAACAAAGCCAAAUCUGUAUGUCUCAAUUCAAUUCUGUUCUAUCUUGGAAUGGGGCAGCCCCCUCCACCCAAGCCCCAGACUCUGGUCUUACUCACAGCAGGCUUUUUGGAGAGCUUUUUGGAAAUUCAGAUCCAAGAAGCACAUUCUGAAAACUAGAACUGAAUAUCUUAAAAAUAAUACAUCAGGAAAGGGUAUACAUACAUUAAUAAUACAUCACUCGUCUUUCAGACAAGCCACACACAUAUACAAUACCUGCACUGCAUGAGAUUUUUAACUGAAAGAUCUUAAAAUACACAAAUUGGGAACAGAGGGUUAAGAUCAAUCAAUUCUCCUGACAGCAAACAGCAUACUGUUUUACCCAAGAAUCUUCCAGGUAGGAAAAUAAAGAUGUCAUGAGUGGACAGAAACCUCCAAAAUUAUUAAUUUCUUUUUUAACCCCAUAAUACAGUAUUAGAUGAUAUGCUUCUUUGAAGACAAAUCUGAAAAUACGAGUGUGCAAGUGUCUACAUAUAUGUAUCUACAAGGCAGUUGCUCAUUACUGCCAUCACACUGGACUGAUGUACAUGUAUGUAUCAUCUCGUGUUUAGGGUUUUUGUUUGUUUUUUUGUUUGCUUGUUUUUGUUGGGGUUUGUUUUUGUUUUUUGAGAAGGAAAAGCUUUGCAUUUGCUUCUGUGGUGUGUUUUAUUUAAAUUUUGUAGUGGUUUUCUGUUUUCUUUUGCAGCUGUAUUUCUUACCAUCUUGGCACUGAAGUGGCCAUGAGCAAGCUCUCCUACAAAAAUUUUGCAGGACUAGCUGGAACUGAUAACCGCAGUGGAAACCCAUUGUUGCUGAAACUGAUAACCCAGUGGAAGGAGACUCACCACCCCCAAUUGUGAAACCCAUUGUUGCUGGAACUGAUAACCACGGUGGAAGGAGACCCAUCACCCUCACUUAUGCAAGAUAAAAAGGGACUGAAGAGAAGAAAGGUUGUCAGCUUUUGGCGGAGCCAGGCUCCCAGCUGAACCCAGCGCUGUUUUGCUUGCUAUCGCUUGCUGUAAUUAAUAAAAUUAUUAAUUGAUCUUAAAAGGCUGAA